Molecule: microRNA precursor, 85 nt
Filed under: Mus caroli (Ryukyu mouse)
Lineage: Eukaryota; Metazoa; Chordata; Mammalia; Rodentia; Muridae
Description: miRNA (MGP_CAROLIEiJ_G0007957.1)
Source: RNAcentral
CAUGUAUGUGUAUGUGCAUGUGUGUAUGUGUGAUUGUGUACUCAUAUACACACAUACAUAUACACACACACAGGCACACCACAUA